AAAGGAAAAGAAAAUUCAUUAACUUGGUGCAUCAUGCACAGCUGAAAACGUAGGGCGCUUGGAACUCUCCGUGGUUUCAGGCAUCUGCAGGGGGCUUAGAACGCACCCCCUGAGUGAGGGGAUCACUCUAACUGGACUGCCCCCUGAUGGGGGAGGGAGGAGGCCUCAUCCAAGGUGGCAGGGGCCAGCUGGGCAGAGUGCAUGUGUGUGCCCGGGCAGCAGGGGCUCAGGGAGGACCCGUGCACACAGUCCCUUGUUGGGCAGGCGGGGCUGCAGAUACCUGUAAGUCCUUGACCUUGAGGGGGCAUCUAGGGGCCUCUGGGUCAAGUCCUUGGAAGCCAGGUAGCAAAGCCAGGAUCCGAGAAGAGCAGCUGGAGGGCCAGAAAACCCACUCAACGGUGACCGGGACUCCUGUCCUCCUUACCCGAGGACACCAAAGCCGGUCACCUUUGAUCUGUAAACACAAGUUGGCAGUCCUUGCGCCAGCCUUCCGGGACCGUGUUCACGCUUGCUCAGCCCUGGGCAGACGGCUCAGGAGCCCCUGCUGUUAAUUGAUUUAUACUUCAAAUGUGUGGGUUGCCUGCACCAUCUGAUGUCACUGUGCAUGCGCCACCUUCAAACAGGACGCCAGGAGGGCAGGGAAGGGACCUGCAGGCCGUGAUGUCACGCCUGACGCCAGGGAGGCUCCGUCAACAGGAGCCUGACACGCGCGCCACCUGCCUCCCACUCCCCGUGCUCCGUGAUUACAGGCUGCGCGGCACGUAUUAAGUGCGGUGAGGUCAUGGCUCCAGGUCCUGUGACUGUCACCUGUACACAGUGAGGUGACGUUCCCCGCGGUCUCAUUCCAGGGCAGCAGCAGGCUCUGGGCUGGAAAGGAUGGAGAGAAGUCGUUUUAUGCGUGUCGAAGGGACCUGAAGGCUCCGCCGUGUUUCCGACUUAACUGCAAGCUCUUUGAGUCCGGUCCAUGCCUGUCCUGGGCUGCGAGCCAGGGAAGUGACGAGACUGUCAUCCCUCAGCCCGGUUCCAUCAGGAUUGUUUACAUUCUGCAUCUUCCUUCUCUUUCAAGACUAUUUUUUUGGCAUUUGCCUUUUGGCAGAGCCGGGACCAAUGAGUGGGUGUUACAGGGACAUGGAUUUUGGCGGGACACAAAGAAUUCUCUUAGUCGGAGCAAUCUACGAAUGGAACAGGUGACUCCAAACACACUGAGUCCCCCGCCCGGACGAGGUCCUUGGCGGUGGCUUCCGGGACACUGGCCGGAGCUCUGACGGAUGGGACCCUCAGCUUCGAGCACCUGCGAGGCAGCAGGCCCUGCUCCAAGAGCUUUCUGUAGAUGAACUUCACAAAUCUUCUGCUGACCUUGAGACAGGCACUGUCGCCGUCUCCAUUUCACAGACAAGAAAACUGAGGCACAGAGGGGCUUCGUAACCAGACACCCUGGGCUCUCACUGAGCCCUGAGCCACUGCCCUCGGCCACACUGCGCAGCGAGUUCUUCCGCGAUCCGUGUGCAUCUGCACACGUUUGUAGUGCGGGGUCCAUUUGUAUCUGUGAAAGUCUGCAGCUCAAAUGUCCGGAAGUCGGGGACUUACUCUCCCAGGGGCAUGCAUGGGUUCUAAGCAAGCCCUGUGCUGCUUCGCAGAAAGAACCUGAGCAUUGCAGAACAUUGCACCCAUGGGCAUCCGGGAGCCCCUCACCGGAGGACACCAAGGCGCCUGUAUCUUCACUGCUAACUCCACUGUCUUGGGACACAGUUUGAACCAGAAUCAAUCAGGGCCUCCUGCCCACCUAAACUCACAGUUUCUGAAAUCCUGACUGUGUCCUACCUACAGUUUGGCUCCCUCGGGCCCAGUGAGCUGGUCCUGAACGUCAGCGCUGGUGCGGAGUGAGUUGUGAUACCCUUACAGUGCAGGAUGCUAGGAAGCGGACAGCCAAGUUUCACUGAAAUCCUGUGCUGAAGAUGUAAACAAGGAGCUGAGGAUUUAGCUCAGCGGCAAAGCACCUGCCUGGCAAGUGCAAGGUCGUGAGUUCGGUUCCCGGUACCGGAAAAAACAAACAAACAAACAAAAAAGAUGUGAACAAAAGCAGGACUCCCUGUGGGGCCUGUGGGUCACGCUGCUGACAUCUCAAAAAUGAUCUUCGCUGGUUCCUGUGCAUUCCUUCACUUUCUCUCCCCCAGAUUAGAAUCCGUAGGAGUUCCAGAAUUGAGGAGGUCUUUCUACUAGGAAAAUGUUUAGUUUGGAGGAUGAGGAAGGCAGCGUGAAGAGCUGGUUGCGGGGCAGCAGGGCCGGUGACCUCCGACAGAAGAGAGAGGUGAUGCACAGCAGCCCGUUAAGAGACAGAGGCCCCCACGAGGCAGAGCCGCAGGCAGGGAGCGCAGAGCAGGGUCCGGCUGACACGGCCUCAUUUCCUCCCCUACACAACCCUCCUGCGAAGACCUGGACAGCAAAGCAUCUGCACGUAGGCAGCGGGCUCCUGGCCCAAUCCACGCUCAGGUCUCCCAAGGCCACGGCCGCCCCAGGGGAGGAGGCGACACUGUCCUGACAACUCGCACCUAGCGGGGAGCCCCGGAUGGCAGGGAGCUCUGAGUCACUCCCUCCUUUUCAGCAGCCCUGGUGGGGGUACGUUUCUGGGAAUACACAGCCGGCAGGGACGUGACAUUCCUUAGCACGCAGCAGUAAGCCAGCCGCCCACUUGAGUGCUGGUCAUGGUACAGCUGCGAUGGGGAACAGGACUGAACAAACUGACUUGAAGUUUACGUGCCUCUAGGAGGGACAGGGGAGCCCAGGCCAGCGCCCCACCCCUCCCUUCUCUUUAGAGCAGAGCUCAACUGCCCUGCCCCAGAGGAAAGUGGGCAAGGAGCGAGGCUGCCCCUCACCCGCCCCUGGAUGGGAGACAGCUCUUAAUUCAUGCCGUGCAGAACUCUAAGACUGCACCGUCGUCAGGCACGGCCACCUUGGAGACUUCACCCGAGGUGGCUUUGAACAAGUCCCGGGAAAGGAUGUGUUCCAGGACCCACUUUCCUGAGAGCAGAGACCCCUGAGAGCCCACAGCUAAGUGCUCGGUGCUGGAAGGGGACCCGGCUGGCUUCCAGGAAGGGCGAAUCUACUCUGAAUUAUCACCCAGCGAAAAGCUGUGGCUGGCGUGGUGGAGAAACACAAGAUGUAGGAAACAGGGAGAUCUUCUGUGAGAGGGACCGAGACAAGGACGGAAGCAAGGGAGGGGAAGGAGGGGAAGGGAGAGUGAAGAUGUGCUGUGCGCAUGCGCUGUAUACAGCUCCUCCACACACCGCAAACACACAGUGAUACAAAUGAAGAUGUAAAACAGCAAAGGAUGUAGGACUGCAAGGGGCCAGGACUCAUCUGACCCAGGUUCACGCUGUGAUGGGGCCUCCAGACGCUGCCUGGCCUCCUGCCAUGACCGACAGCUGCUCAUGGCUCACAGACGUGGGGGACAAACACACACAGCCGCUGAGGUGACCCCAUGCCACGAUCGGAGGACAGGACACUGUGUGACUUAACCGUUCUGCUCUGAUUCACCCGUUCAAAUAACACUUAGGAAACACAGACACGUGGGCAAAGUAAGCUUGUAAAAAUAACCCGUGCGAGUGCCCUAAGUCAGGGGACAGCUGGACAAGCCGCAAAGGCUGCAAGCCGUGAGAUGUGGCUUUCAUCCCUUCGCCUUUGCCUCGCUGUGCCUCAGGGCAGGUAGAAUGGGAAAACAGAAAAGGAAGAGGGCUGACAUAGGAAAAUUUCCACGGUCAUAACACCCGGCCCACAGCAAGGGGCCAGCCAGAAUAUCGGCUUUAACACAAGACUCAUCCUGCAAGCCUGGCCCGAGUAGGGACUCUCAAUGGGUAGUUACAAAUUCCUGAGAAAGAAACCCUGUUCUGGACAAGUCUGCAGGCCUGGAAGUUCUCAUCAGACUCUCCCGCUUGUCAAUGUGCAGAUUCCUGCGCCCCCGCCGCCCCUGGCUGACGCCACCACGUAGACGAUCUGGAUCGGAACCCACGGUGCCUCAGGCCAUUGCUGUGACCGCAGGUCAAGGAGGUGCUGAGCUGGCCACGCCGGCUGCCCAGGGAGGUGGUGGAGAGGACUUGGGAGAGCUGAUGGUAUGAAAGCAAGCAGUUUUGGAUCCCAUGGAAAUUGGCACUUUAGCACACGGGCUUCUUGCUUAUCUUUUCUUUAGGGAGAGACAGAGGAGUGACACAAAUUCUUUUAAAAUUUCAAAGACAGAUAGAAUCUUUUCCCCAGAAAAUGCUUCCCUGGCCCCACAUUUGAAUACAGUUUCAGGGUUCUGAAUCCAUGCUUGGGGGGUCAGGAAAGGAGCCUAAGUGCUGCUGGGAUUUUGGUCACGAAAAGGGUGGCCCCAGUGGUGAACCCCGGCCCCCAAAGCAGUCCAGCCAGCGGAGCUGGGCAGCCGGAGGGGUCUCGGACUAAACCGUUCAUAGCUGUGUAGGGGGCAGAUGAGCCUUUGGGGGGUGGGGGGUGGCGGUAAAGUUUUUCCUGCUGGGAGAGUGCUGCGGAGAGGAGCAGGCCGUUUUGGAGGGGCAGGGGUGCGGACCCCAGGACCUCAGUGCUUUGGCAGGUCCAGCACACAACCACAGGUGCAAGGACUCGGGGGCUCCUGGAACAUUGUGGAAACCCAGGCGGACGCUUAGCAGGCAGCUCAGAGGUCCCUGGGAUCUUAGUCUCUCUUUUCGGCUAAGUCUGCCCUGGGGCCUGUGACUUGCAGUUGAAAAUUUGGGGAUGGGGAGGCAGGCCACCAGCCAGGGAUGUGCACAGUCCACUUUUGCCUCUGAAGGAGGAAGAUGGAUUCCAGGAUGCAGCCACUCCCAGACUCCCAAAUCUGGGAAGGCUCACAUCUCUUUAGUCUCUUGUGCAGAGUGGUGUCGUGUGUGACAUAACCUGCACACAGCUGCCUGUUUCCCUCCCUCUCUCCUCUCUGCCCGCUUUCUCCCUCCUCCUCCCUCCCUUUCCUCCUCCUUCCCUCUCAG
This is a long non-coding RNA of Chinchilla lanigera (long-tailed chinchilla), 4991 nucleotides long. RefSeq lists it as uncharacterized. Lineage: Eukaryota; Metazoa; Chordata; Mammalia; Rodentia; Chinchillidae. The transcript is spliced from 5 exons. The record is from RefSeq and is a predicted model, not a curated record.